This is a long non-coding RNA of Prunus mume (Japanese apricot), 467 nucleotides long. RefSeq lists it as uncharacterized. Lineage: Eukaryota; Viridiplantae; Streptophyta; Magnoliopsida; Rosales; Rosaceae. The record is from RefSeq and is a predicted model, not a curated record.
CACCUCUGUUUCAUCUCAGAAUUUCAUUUUAAAAACUUCAAGUUCUUGUUGCUCUUCUUGCCUUACUCACCAAAACCAUGUCUCUUACACCAUUGAUGUUUAGGUCACUGAUGAGGCUACUAACAUCUCUAAUUGGAGCUCCAGCUGCCUCAGUCUCAACCUUGCUUUACUACAGUGAGCUUCUGCCUCAGAAUAUCAUCUUGGAAAGAUUAGUUCGACAUGAAUUGCUCGAUCGAGAAAACUAUUUGUUCCAUUUCCUCAUCAACUUCUUGAGAUGUUUUUGGUAGGUAGGAACCAUCAACCAUAUAUACAACAAUAGACUCAGUGUUUUCCAUAACAGAGCCGGCUUUCUUUCUUGUGCAUUUUUGUAAACCCAUUAUUAUUUCUUGGUGGCUGUUGGUCACUGGUGAGGGUUUGAAUUGUAAAAUCUGUGAUUUGUGAUCAUAAUGAGAUAUAUUUCACAGUUU